UCCGGCUUGUCACCGGCGGUCUCUCCAGAGUGCCCGGCCCUACCCGAUGGCAACUGAAGAUAAGGGUUGCGCUCGUUGCGGGACUUAACCCAACAUCUCACGACACGAGCUGACGACAACCAUGCACCACCUGUGCACGGCCCUUACGGACCUCCCACCUCUGGGAGAUUUCCGUGCAUGUCAAGCCUAGGUAAGGUUCUUCGCGUUGCAUCGAAUUAAGCAACAUGCUCCGCCGCUUGUGCGGGCCCCCGUCAACUCCUUUGAGUUUUAAUCUUGCGACCGUACUCCCCAGGCGGAAUGCUUAAUGCGUUAGCUGCGCCACCGACGAGCAAGCUCGCCAACGGCUGGCAUUCAUCGUUUACGGCGUGGACUAC
This 374-nucleotide unclassified non-coding RNA is filed under the name uncultured bacterium. RNAcentral describes it as "contains 16S-23S intergenic spacer region". The record is from RNAcentral.